RNAcentral lists this ribosomal RNA (253 nucleotides) under uncultured bacterium. Its description in RNAcentral is "partial 16S ribosomal RNA". It matches the Rfam family "Bacterial small subunit ribosomal RNA", at positions 524 to 776 of the family's 1533-position model. The record is from RNAcentral.
UACAGAGGGUGCUAGCGUUGUUCGGAAUCAUUGGGCGUAAAGGGCGUGUAGGCGGUUUGUUAAGUCAUGUGUGAAAUCCCUCGGCUCAACCGGGGAACGACGCAUGAAACUGGCAAGCUAGAGUACCAAAGAGGGGGGUGGAAUUCCCGGUGUAGCGGUGAAAUGCGUAGAUAUCAGGAGGAAUACCGGUGGCGAAAGCGACUCUCUGGACGGCAACUGACGCUGAGGCACGAAAGCGUGGGGAGCAAACAGG